Micropterus dolomieu (smallmouth bass) is the source of this 1653-nucleotide long non-coding RNA. RefSeq lists it as uncharacterized. NCBI's taxonomy places the organism in Eukaryota, Metazoa, Chordata, Actinopteri, Centrarchiformes, Centrarchidae. The record is from RefSeq and is a predicted model, not a curated record. The transcript has 3 exons.
ACGAGGAUUACCAAACACUAGAUGACAAGACAGACCCCCAAAACCCAACAUACUAUAAGGAAGAUACUAACUAAAAAGUGCAACACAAAGAGUGGCUGUCCGGCAGAGUGUGACAGAAAGCUUAAAAUAAAUGUAAGGAGAUCUCAAUUAAAAUAAAAUGCAGCACGAGGAGCGAGGAGAGAACAUCAAACAUUGAGGAGGCUUGUCGGAAGAGCUAUAAGCGAGGACACCUUUGUAUCCUUUGCAAAAGUAUUUCAGCAGCCUUGAUGUUUAAAUGAGUCAUGACAUACAGAUGGAAUAUACAACCAUGGCGGGAGCAGUACAGCGUUCUUUAGUAUUCAUCAAGAGAGACGCUGCACACAAUAAUGCAAGAGACUUCAGGGACAACGUGUGUCUGAGGGAUGAUAUGAUUGACCCUAAAGCUGGAUAAAUAACAGGCUCACUCAGCAGUCCUCACUUAUUCGAGCAUACUGUGAGUCCUUCUGCAGAAGAUUUGAAUAAAAUUCACAGAAAGACGAGCUAUUUAUUUGAAAACUCGAAUUGCCAUCACAGCAUCACAAUAAGGAAAUCUCCUGGAAAGCUACUGUGACCGGUGGAGGUGGGACGAUAUGAUCUGUAGCCUGUAUGUAUCUCAUCUCAUUUCAUUAAAUGCCUGUUGCCUCGACCGCUCGCAUCUUUGGUGGGAGGGGCUACAAUGCAUGCGAGGAGUCGAGGAGGUACAAACUGAGAAAUGAGAAAGGCCUAAAAAGAGUGAAUGACAGGAAGUAAAAGUCAGAGCAGCAGCGGGAGAAGAAACCGACCAUUUUAGAGUCACUUCCUCGACAAGACAAAGUUUAAUGAAAAACCUUUUAUCAUGUCAAAACUCUUUAAAGAACUUCUAUCCAAACACUGCAGUUAAGUUAAAUCAAAUGACUAAAUGUUUUUUUUACUGAACUUUGAAGGUUGAAUGAUUAUGUCUUUCAAUUUAAUGACAACUUUCAUGAUGCUUUGAUGACAAUCAUGUCAACACUAUUUAUUUUAAAGGAUAUUUUAUAGGUUUAUUUCAAUAUAAGUUCAGUUUUAUUCCUAAGGUAGUUAGACCUGCAUGAAGAUUAAAAUUUUGCAAAUAGAGAUAAAGCAAACAGCUGUUUGAGACAGAGAGAGUAAAAUCUCGGCCUGAUAAUGUUUGAUUAAAUCUAACAGGAUGUAAAUAUUUCGGUAUAAACUACUGAGGCUGCUGGAAACUUUCUGUCUUCUGCUCUGAAACUCUUUUCAGACACAUAACUCAUCUCCAGCAGCCUGUUAACAGCGACAUUGAAACAAAGUCAACAAAUUGUCUCACCGCUUCUUGUUGAAUCCAAAAUACUUCCACACUUCUCAGGCGCUUUGAUGUCGUGAUCUUCAAGUUCAGCUCAGAUUUCAUCCAGGGCCUUCAGCAAAGAGAGGUCAGACCUCAGAGCUGCAGGAAUCACAAUGUGACUCAGCUGAGAGAGAGAGAGAGAAAACACACUUCCCUCCUCCUCUUAACUCGUCACAUAUAGACAUUGGUAAUGGGCGGGCUGGGUCAACAAAAAGGCAGAAGAAUGUGUCAUGUGGCUGUGGGUAUGCAGGAAUAAAGUUCUCUUUAUGUUUUUAUGCAACUACUGUACAUCCCAAAAUGAGCCAUGUAAUGGA